RNAcentral lists this unclassified non-coding RNA (177 nucleotides) under soil metagenome. Its description in RNAcentral is "partial internal transcribed spacer 1". The record is from RNAcentral.
CAAGAAGCCGAAAGGCUACUUAAAACCAUCGCGAACUUAUCCAAGUUGCUUCGGCGGGCGCGGCUCCCCCUCACGGGGGACCGCAGCCCCCCGCCUCUCAGGAGGUAAGGGGCAGCCGCCGGAGGUACGAAACUCUGUAUUAUAGUGGUAUCUCUGAGUAUAAAACAAAUAAGUUUA